UUAGAUGUUGGCUCAAUGAUUAAGAGCUCUGGCUGCUCUUCCAGAGGACCUGGGUUCAAUCCCCAGCACCUACA
Non-coding RNA from Cricetulus griseus (Chinese hamster), 74 nucleotides. The record is from Rfam. Lineage: Eukaryota; Metazoa; Chordata; Mammalia; Rodentia; Cricetidae.